Molecule: ribosomal RNA, 474 nt
Filed under: uncultured bacterium
Lineage: Bacteria
Description: bacterial SSU rRNA
Rfam family: Bacterial small subunit ribosomal RNA
Source: RNAcentral
AGCGAACGCUAGCGGCGGGCCUAACACAUGCAAGUCGAGCGGGGGAGCAAUCCCCAGCGGCGGACGGGUGAGUAACACGUAGGUUAUGUGCCCUUUGGUGGGGAAUAACCGUGGGAAACCAUGGCUAAUUCCGCAUAUCGAGCGAAAUCUUGAAAGCCUUCGGGCGCCAAAAGGAGCAACCUGCGGCCCAUUAGCUUGUUGGUAGGGUAACGGCCUACCAAGGCGAUGAUGGGUAGCUGGUCUGAGAGGAUGAUCAGCCACACUGGAACUGAGACACGGUCCAGACUCCUACGGGAGGCAGCAGUGGGGAAUAUUGCGCAAUGGGCGAAAGCCUGACGCAGCCACGCCGCGUGAGUGAUGAAGGCCUUCGGGUCGUAAAGGACUCUGUCGUAGGGGACGAAAGGGGAAACCGUUUAGACGGUACCUUAACCAAGGAAAGGCACCGGCUAACUCCGUGCCAGCAGCCGCGGUAAU